CCUACGGGAUGCUGCAGUGGGGAAUAUUGGACAAUGGGCGAAAGCCUGAUCCAGCCAUGCCGCGUGUGUGAAGAAGGCCUUCGGGUUGUAAAUCACUUUCAGUGGGGAAGAAAGCCUUGGGGCUAAUACCCUCGAGGAAGGACAUCACCCACAGAAGAAGCACCGGCUAACUCCGUGCCAGCAGCCGCGGUAAUACGGAGGGUGCGAGCGUUAAUCGGAAUUACUGGGCGUAAAGCGCGCGUAGGCGGUCUGAUAAGCCGGUUGUGAAAGCCCCGGGCUCAACCUGGGAACGGCAUCCGGAACUGUCAGGCUAGAGUGCAGGAGAGGAAGGUAGAAUUCCCGGUGUAGCGGUGAAAUGCGUAGAGAUCGGGAGGAAUACCAGUGGCGAAGGCGGCCUUCUGGACUGACACUGACGCUGAGGUGCGAAAGCGUGGGUAGCAAACAGGAUUAGAUACCCUUGUAGUC
This 465-nucleotide ribosomal RNA is filed under the name Vreelandella stevensii. RNAcentral describes it as "partial 16S ribosomal RNA". It matches the Rfam family "Bacterial small subunit ribosomal RNA", at positions 338 to 795 of the family's 1533-position model. The record is from RNAcentral. Lineage: Bacteria; Pseudomonadati; Pseudomonadota; Gammaproteobacteria; Oceanospirillales; Halomonadaceae.